RNAcentral lists this ribosomal RNA (468 nucleotides) under uncultured bacterium. Its description in RNAcentral is "partial 16S ribosomal RNA". It matches the Rfam family "Bacterial small subunit ribosomal RNA", at positions 28 to 507 of the family's 1533-position model. The record is from RNAcentral.
GACGAACGCUGGCGGCGUGCUUAACACAUGCAAGUCGAACGGAAAGGCCCUGCUUUUGUGGGGUGCUCGAGUGGCGAACGGGUGAGUAACACGUGAGUAACCUGCCCUUGACUUUGGGAUAACUUCAGGAAACUGGGGCUAAUACCGGAUAGGAGCUCCUGCUGCAUGGUGGGGGUUGGAAAGUUUCGGCGGUUGGGGAUGGACUCGCGGCUUAUCAGCUUGUUGGUGGGGUAGUGGCUUACCAAGGCUUUGACGGGUAGCCGGCCUGUGAGGGUGACCGGCCACAUUGGGACUGAGAUACGGCCCAGACUCCUACGGGAGACAGCAGUGGGGAAUAUUGCACAAUGGGAGGAAGCCUGAUGCAGAAACGCCGCGUGCGGGAUGACGGCCUUCGGGUUGUAAAACGCUUUCGCCUGUGACGAAGCGUGAGUGACGGUAAUGGGUAAAGAAGCACCGGCUAACUACGUG